Molecule: ribosomal RNA, 503 nt
Filed under: uncultured bacterium
Lineage: Bacteria
Description: partial 16S ribosomal RNA
Rfam family: Bacterial small subunit ribosomal RNA
Source: RNAcentral
AUUGAACGCUGGCGGCAGGCUUAACACAUGCAAGUCGAGCGGGGUGAUGGUGCUUGCACUAUCACUUAGCGGCGGACGGGUGAGUAAUGCUUAGGGAUCUGCCUAUUAGUGGGGGACAACAUCUCGAAAGGGAUGCUAAUACCGCAUACGUCCUACGGGAGAAAGCAGGGGAUCACUUGUGACCUUGCGCUAAUAGAUGAGCCUAAGUCGGAUUAGCUAGUUGGUGGGGUAAAGGCCUACCAAGGCGACGAUCUGUAGCGGGUCUGAGAGGGUGAUCCGCCACACGGGGACUGAGACACGGCCCGGACUCCUACGGGAGGCAGCAGUGGGGAAUAUUGGACAAUGGGGGGAACCCUGAUCCAGCCAUGCCGCGUGUGUGAAGAAGGCCUUAUGGUUGUAAAGCACUUUAAGCGAGGAGGAGGCUCUUUUGGUUAAUACCCAAGAUGAGUGGACGUUACUCGCAGAAUAAGCACCGGCUAACUCUGUGCCAGCCGCCGCCGUAA